UUUUUUUUUUUGAAAACGUGGACUUGUAUCAUAACACAGAUAUCUAUUUAUUGGAAUAUAGUAUAACAUGUGAUUUCCACCGAACAUAAAGGAAAAAACUCUUAUACCUACAGAAAUAUGAUAUAUGGAUAUAUCAAUUCUAGCAAUUUUCAAAUAGAUCAGGAUCGUUGGAUGACUGAAAUGUAGUCGGUGAAUCUCUAUGUAUAUUAAUAUGUAUAGUGGGAUCGUAUUAAAU
RNAcentral lists this long non-coding RNA (235 nucleotides) under Nicotiana benthamiana. RNAcentral describes it as "long non-coding RNA (NBEN_LNC018722)". Lineage: Eukaryota; Viridiplantae; Streptophyta; Magnoliopsida; Solanales; Solanaceae. The record is from RNAcentral.